GCCGGCCUCGCGCCGGCUUAGGGGAGACGGCGGCCGUCCGCGGCCGCCCGCAUCCCCGGGGCGUCUCGAUCUACCGCCGCUCGUCGGCGGAAGGCGAGGUGCACCUAGAGCGCGCACGCUGGGACCCGAAAGAUGGUGAACUAUGCCUGGCCAGGACGAAGUCAGGGGAAACCCUGAUGGAGGUCCGUAGCGAUUCUGACGUGCAAAUCGAUCGUCAGAGCUGGGUAUAGGGGCGAAAGACUAAUCGAACCAUCUAGUAGCUGGUUCCCUCCGAAGUUUCCCUCAGGAUAGCUGGCGUCCAGCGAACCGAGUCCCAUCCGGUAAAGCGAAUGAUUAGAGGCCUUGGGGUCGAAACGACCUCAACCUAUUCUCAAACUUUAAAUGGGUGGGAUCCGCGGCUUUUUUGAACGUGAAGCCGCGGAACACGGAUCCGGACGCCAAGUGGGCCACUUUUGGUAAGCAGAACUGGCGCUGUGGGAUGAACCAAACGCCCGGUUAAGGCGCCCGAACCGACGCUCAUCGGAAACCAUGAAAGGUGUUGGUUGCUUAAGACAGCAGGACGGUGGCCAUGGAAGUCGGAAUCCGCUAAGGAGUGUGUAACAACUCACCUGCCGAAGCAACUAGCCCUGAAAAUGGAUGGCGCUGAAGCGUCGUGCCUAUACCGGGCCGUCGGGGCAGANGNCGCGGGCANCCGCGCUGCGAAGCCCCGACGAGUAGGAGGGUCGCUGCGGUGAGCGCAGAAGGUCUGGGCGCGAGCCCNCCUGGAGCCGCCGCAGGUGCAGAUCUUGGUGGUAGUAGCAAAUACUCCAGCGAGGCCCUGGAGGACUGAUGUGGAGAAGGGUUCCGUGUGAACAGCCGUUGCACACGGGUCAGUCGAUCCUAAGCCCUAGGAGAAAUCCGAUGUUGAUGGACAGCGGGACGUCGCGGCGAGAGCUACGAGCACCCCGUCCGUCGGGCGAAAGGGAAUCCGGUUCCUAUUCCGGAACCCGGUUGCGGAACCGCACUCACGAUCCUCGUAUUGACACGGUAACGUGAAUGACCCCAGAGAUGCCGUCUGGAGCCCCGGGAAGAGUUUUCUUUUCUGCCUGAGCGUUCGGGUUCCAUGGAAUCCUCUAGCAGGGAGAUAUGGAAUGGAGCGCAAAGAGCACCGCAGUUGCUGCGGUGUCCGGGGAGUCCCGUCGGCCCUUGAAAAUCUGGGUGAGGGUCACGUGGAGUCGCCGCACCGGUUCGUACCCAUAUCCGCAGCAGGUCUCCAAGGUCAAGAGCCUCUAGUCGAUAGAAUAAUGUAGGUAAGGGAAGUCA
RNAcentral lists this ribosomal RNA (1302 nucleotides) under Baetis tricaudatus. RNAcentral's name for it is "eukaryotic LSU rRNA". It matches the Rfam family "Eukaryotic large subunit ribosomal RNA", at positions 727 to 1916 of the family's 3401-position model. The record is from RNAcentral. Lineage: Eukaryota; Metazoa; Arthropoda; Insecta; Ephemeroptera; Baetidae.